Molecule: ribosomal RNA, 425 nt
Filed under: uncultured bacterium
Lineage: Bacteria
Description: partial 16S ribosomal RNA
Rfam family: Bacterial small subunit ribosomal RNA
Source: RNAcentral
GUGGGGAAUAUUGGGCAAUGGGCGAAAGCCUGACCCAGCAACGCCGCGUGAAGGAAAAAGGUCUUCGGAUCGUAAACUUCUAUCCUUGGUGAAGAUAAUGACGGUAGCCGAGAAGGAAGCCCCGGCUAACUACGUGCCAGCAGCCGCGGUAAUACGUAGGGGGCAAGCGUUGUCCGGAAUGAUUGGGCGUAAAGGGCGCGUAGGCGGCCUGGUAAGUCUGGAGUGAAAGUCCUGCUUUUAAGGUGGGAAUUGCUUUGGAUACUGUCGGGCUUGAGUGCAGGAGAGGUAAGUGGAAUUCCCGGUGUAGCGGUGAAAUGCGUAGAGAUCGGGAGGAACACCAGUGGCGAAGGCGACUUACUGGACUGUAACUGACGCUGAGGCGCGAAAGUGUGGGGAGCAAACAGGAUUAGAAACCCGUGUAGUCC